This is a long non-coding RNA of Osmerus eperlanus (European smelt), 421 nucleotides long. RefSeq lists it as uncharacterized. The record is from RefSeq and is a predicted model, not a curated record. The transcript is spliced from 4 exons. NCBI's taxonomy places the organism in Eukaryota, Metazoa, Chordata, Actinopteri, Osmeriformes, Osmeridae.
AGUACCUCUAGUACUACCAACUUGCUAUCUAGAAAGCGUACGUUUUAACACAGCUAACUAGCUAGCUAACUGUUAUAACCAGACUACCGUAGCUAGCUCGAGCGCGACAGUAAUGAGCAUUCUUGUUAGCUAGGUAGCUAACCAUGGUCUGCUGUUCUAGCUGAAAAAUUAUGACUCGGAGUCAAUGGGUGGAAAUAAUUUCUGAAAACAAUCUUCUCUCUUACAGUGCUUGUCCAAGUGACUGCUGUACGCCUCACUGACUUGUGAUACUCAUCGUGGUGACCGUCCUACAUUGACCUGUGUAGACACUCGCUCUCCAGGCAGAUAUUUCUUCUCAAGAACUGGUCUGUCCUGGGAGAGAGGAAGCUGUGUGCCUUGGGUGUGUUGGUCUCACCCCCACCAAAUUCUCGGUGUUGGUUUG